AUGAAAGACGAAGAACU
This 17-nucleotide small RNA is filed under the name Arabidopsis thaliana (thale cress). RNAcentral's name for it is "ATSL096660". Lineage: Eukaryota; Viridiplantae; Streptophyta; Magnoliopsida; Brassicales; Brassicaceae. The record is from RNAcentral.